Molecule: long non-coding RNA, 1232 nt
Organism: Eurytemora carolleeae
Lineage: Eukaryota; Metazoa; Arthropoda; Copepoda; Calanoida; Temoridae
Exons: 5
Source: RefSeq, a predicted model, not a curated record
UUAGGUUAAUUGAUUCAAGAACCACGAAUCUCAGAAAUAUAAGAUCAUUAAACAAAGAUGAAAUUAGUCAAGAAAGUUCAGAGAAAGUUGGAGACUUAGAUUUCUUGGAAUCCUCAAUACCUCAGAGCCGAAAUAGAAGGUCAAUUCUGGGUAUACCCUUCCCAAGUGCAGCAGUUGUUCAACUUUUCCCCCUGCCCUUUCUUCCAACCAACCUCAUUGGAUUUCAAUUAAUAUUCAAUCCUCCUAAACCUAAACCUGGAGCCCCUGCCCCCACACCCUCUAAACCUUCACCUUCAAGAUACCCACCCGGCCCCUCCAAUCCUUCACCAUCAAGAUACCCUCCCCGCCCCUCUGAUCCCUCGCCCUCAAGAUACCUUCAAAGACCACAAACAAAUUACAAGAGUCCUCAAAAACCUCAUUAUGUUCCAAGAAGCGGCCUCCCCCUGUCCUACAAUGGACUCCCAGUGCCUCCUCCCACAGCUCGUGUUGACCCCAAUACUAUUGAAUACAAUGGCUGGAUUCCUUACCAUAGUUCUUAGAUCAACAGAUUACUAUGGUUUAAAGGGAAGAGUCACGAUUUUCAACAGGACACUCUCUUUCUAGACACUGUAUGCAACAUAUUUAAGCUUAAAGAGACUGUUGUUGUUAUUUCAAAUAACCACUAGUUCAAGAGGGGAAUGUUGCAAUUCACAAAGGAUCCCUUUUAAACUCUUGUCUAACAAAAUAAUCAAAAUCAAAUAACCCUGAUAUUGAUACUUUCAUCUUGGUGGUUUCUUUUUUAAAGUGACAAUUGCACAUUUAUGCAGCGAAAAUAAAGAAAGAAAUUGUCAGAAUUGAAGUCUUUAUUUGACAGGGUCGCCUGAUAUUAUGUCGACCUGCCCCUCUUAUGGAAUAAUAAGCAAUAUUUAUGCCAUAUAUUCUAAAUCUUAAGCGGCUGUAAUAAAGAAAACUUAAUUUAGAACUUUUUUUUAAUCACUAUGUUCGCUCUUCACCUCUAGUCAAGCCAUUCACACUGUUACCAAUAGUCUCACCUAACUGAUUUUAUAACUGUUAACCACAAAUACAUAGUUUUCUAUUCGUCAAAUAAUGAAUCUUUAAGAAACAUUAUUCAUCUAAUGUGCUAUUUAAUUAAAUAGUUAUUAUUUUGUGAUUUCAAAUGUUGAUAAUUUGCUAAGGGCAUUUUGUAUGUUGUUAUUUAUUCUUUAAAAGCAGUACUAGUAUAGUAUAUGAAU